UUCUUGUUCUCCUUUUCGUUUUCAUUUUCAGUCAACACAACACACAUACACACACUCCUCUCCCUCACCCUCCCACCGGUACAUUCCUCAUCAUCACCUCUACCAUUUUUCCAACAAAAUCACUGGAAAAUCCUCAAGAACAUCACACCUUCACAUAAGUUAUUUGAGGUUCUAGCCAAUCUCCCUUGGAGCUUGGAGAAUUAAGUUUUUUGCAAGUUGCAAGUUUUUCAGAUCUCUUAACUAUAUCUUGGGUAUGGAGCUUACUUCCUUGGUAAUGAUUAGAGUGCUACCUUAAAUUUUGAGACUCUUGCUGUAAGUGGUUGGUGACUCGAUCCUGUUAUGUUCAACGAGACCUUAAUUAAUUCUAUUGGAGGUUGGUCACUUGAGGUUUGUUAACCUUAGGCAUGGUAGGCAUAGACUUGAUAUUAAGAUUCCUUAUUCUUGAUAUGAUUGUGACUUUGUAUAAUCCAAGAGCCUUGUAAUAUAUAUUCAUGUAUUAGGUGGAGGCACAUGAUUUUUAGUUAUUGUUUGUAAAUGUGUUAUAGA
Quercus robur (English oak) is the source of this 546-nucleotide long non-coding RNA. RefSeq lists it as uncharacterized. The transcript is spliced from 3 exons. The record is from RefSeq and is a predicted model, not a curated record. Lineage: Eukaryota; Viridiplantae; Streptophyta; Magnoliopsida; Fagales; Fagaceae.